UACGUAGGGGGCUAGCGUUGUCCGGAAUUAUUGGGCGUAAAGAGCUUGUAGGCGGUUUGUCGCGUCUGCCGUGAAAAUUCGAGGCUCAACCUCGAACUUGCAGUGGGUACGGGCAGACUAGAGUGUGGUAGGGGAGACUGGAAUUCCUGGUGUAGCGGUGAAAUGCGCAGAUAUCAGGAGGAACACCGAUGGCGAAGGCAGGUCUCUGGGCCACUACUGACGCUGAGAAGCGAAAGCGUGGGGAGCGAACAGG
Molecule: ribosomal RNA, 253 nt
Filed under: uncultured bacterium
Lineage: Bacteria
Description: partial 16S ribosomal RNA
Rfam family: Bacterial small subunit ribosomal RNA
Source: RNAcentral